This 44-nucleotide transfer RNA is filed under the name Eisenia nordenskioldi nordenskioldi. RNAcentral's name for it is "partial tRNA-His". Lineage: Eukaryota; Metazoa; Annelida; Clitellata; Crassiclitellata; Lumbricidae. The record is from RNAcentral.
AACCUCUGAGUUGUGGUUUCAGAAAUGUCAUAUGACCCUCUUUC